Long non-coding RNA from Passer domesticus (house sparrow), 12814 nucleotides. RefSeq lists it as uncharacterized. The record is from RefSeq and is a predicted model, not a curated record. The transcript is spliced from 3 exons. Lineage: Eukaryota; Metazoa; Chordata; Aves; Passeriformes; Passeridae.
GAAACAGCGUGGGCACAGCGCCUCAGUCACACCUGCGCGGCUGAGGCGGCCGCGCCUCGCCUCAGAAUUAACCCGAGGCAUCCCGAAAGAUCUUUGCCUUCUUCUUGGAAUUAUCUCUGUAAGCUCCACCUGAGCUGCCCCUUUGCAGGUUUGGCUCUCGGGUGCUUCUCAGGAACCACCUUUUCAAGCUGGUGUUUGGAGUCUCUCUGUUCCUGAGUACUUUUCUUAGGUGAGAAUGUGCCAAGAGUGCACAAAGUGUUCCCGGAAUAACCACGCCAGAGCCAUUGCUGCUUGCUCCCUGCCCACAGGCACCCGGAUGCAUCAUGCUAUUUCAGUGUCAGAGCUCGCAAGACUCUUGUUGAAUUUGUGGGGCCCAGCAGAGUGUAGCAACCCUCAUCCUGGCGAGUGCAUGGUGUAAAUACAGUGAUUCAAGUCAGGCAUGUGUGGUCAGGCCAGGGUGGUUCACAGGGACAGUGAAUGUAGAACUAGUUUUGACUAAUUUCUUUCAAGAACCAUAGAAGACAUAAGUGUGAGCAAAGGAUGUGGAUGUGCAGGGAGGUACUGGUUAAAUUCCAGCAUGGGACCAGUACUAGGCACUGCAUGAACUGUGGGUAGGCUGGUGAGCAGGAAAGCAGAGAAGGAUGGUAGGCCAAAUUGCAGAAGGGUGGAGUCAUGUGAUGCCUUGUGGUCAAAGAAGGGUUUCAAGACUCAUGAGUCAAAGGGAGAGGAACUGGGGAGAAUAAAACAGAAGAGAUGUUGCAGUUGGGUCAGAAGCCUAAAUAUAGCAGCCACAUUGGAAGGAUAUGAGUGUCCCAUUCCUGGGCAUCAUUGUUCUCUGUCAGUGACUGGGUGAAGUGCAGCCUGUUACACACUCUUCAGCCUUCCUGGCAUGGCACUGUUUCCUGUCUGCAUUUCCAUUUUCUCCAAAUCCAAAGGAGAAAGAAUGGAAAUGCUUUCCCUGUUUGGUGUUUGCUAUGACCAUUUUUCAGGAUUGUGCAUUCAUCCCUGGAAUGCUCAUGGAUUGCAGAGUAGGCAGGGCAGGGAGUGUUACUGCUCUUUAUGAAGUUUCCAUUUGUGUUCCAUCCCUGCUUGUAGCCUGCAUUGUGUGAGUAACUUUUGGGGGAGUUCAGCAUGAGCUGAGUAGGAGUGUGUCAGAGAUCUGCAGUGAUUUUUAAAAUAAACUUCCUUAUGCCAGUUCUUACCUGGCCUGCUGAAAAAUUUUGUUGACUUGUUCCAUGAGAAAACAAUUUGAGGAGGAAUUCUUCCCAAGAGUUCAAUAAUACGAGCAACAUGAUCUAGAUAGAGGGAGGGAAGACAAAUUUAGAUACAGACUGUGACACUUCUGUCAGUGAAAUGAAUAAAACUCAUGGAGUCCUACCAUCAUCUCUGGAGAAAUAUUUCCCAGGUUGAGGAUCAAAUAGACGCUCUCCAGUUGCCAUUUCAAAUGCCUAGAAAUGGAGUAGCACUGUUAAUUCACUGAUUGUCUUGGAGUUUUCCUUGCCCGCUAACUGAUACUGCCCUCUUUAUCACACAAAACUGGUCCUAAAAUGUGGAAAUACUCACACUGGCUUGAUCUGUACCGCAGUGAAACAACACCUUUAUCUCCAUCAGGAUGAAAAGCAGCAUGUGCCUGAUGCAGGCAAGCCUCUGAGCUAAUCUACAUGGAGUGUGAAUUGCCUUAGAGCUUAAACUAAAUUAGGACUGGGUCGUACCAGCAGCAGACUUUUGCCCUAAAGUGAACGAGUUCCAACAGCCCCUUUUGCCUUCUUGAAAGGAAGCUUUCUUUACAGGGAUGCUCAGGACAUGCUGCCCCGGCCAGCUAAGGCCUGUCCCCUCCCCAGUGCUGUCCCCAGCCCUACCAGGCACGCUGUACUCCAGAUAUCCGCAGGAGUGCCGUAGUCUAAUCCAAGGAGCACUUCCAGGGCCCGGUACGGCUGCGUCUGUAUCUCCUUGGAAAAGGGCUUGUACUAAAACAGAAACAAACUCCUUUAAAAACUCCUUAAACAGCCACAGCAGCACUGGUGGUUCACAAGCUUCUUGUGUGGUGACAGGACAUUGGGGACACAAAUGGAUGUGUGUUCUCAGCUCUGUGCAGGGCACAGCCAGCACAUUCCUGCCCCACUGACACCAGUGGGAAUCCACCUCUCACCAUUUCACACUGAACAUAGUUUUAAAUUUCUCAUCGUAGGGACUAACUGCAAGCUGGAGAAAUGUCCAAAACUGACAGUGGCUCAGGAAGACCGUGCGCAUCUUGGAGCUGAGAGUGGCAAACAUAAAACCCCCCAAUAUUGGCAUCUCUGAAAUAGCUGUUCAGCUGUAAAGGGACAGACAGACACAGUGUGGGAUGGAAAGGAGCACACAACAUCACACAUUGUCACGGGAUUGAGACUUGGAGCAGACUCACUGUCCAGCAUGCACUUCCUAGAUCUGCAAUUUUCACCUCUAUGCUCAUUAAAUCGGAUUCUUCCAACUGAUUGCCAAGAUCACCUCCUAGAUGGGAAGGACAAAGAGAAAUCAGGUCUUUCUGAACCAGCAGGUACACACCACUUACCACAGGAGAGGUAUGUCUGCCUUCCCUUAAAGUUUCUUGGCCUAAAAGCUCCUAAAUACUUUUUAUCAUAAAUCAAAUGCCACGCCUCUUUUUUUAAGGAACACAAAACAAGACCUGGUAUCCAGUAAAACAUGAGAGAAUGGGAGAACAGUAGCUUGGAGUGGAACAGUGUGACCAUAGGCUCCUGUCCUGCUGCAAGGUUAAAUUACUGUGGGCCCAGAGGAGAGCACCAGUCAGAACCCAAGCAUCUGUAAUUCCCCCUCAGCCUUCAGCAACCCUGGCUGUCACAGACCUUGGAUACAGCCUGCUUGGCCAGCAACAUGGACCUUAUGCUUCCAUGUGAUCCCAGGAAAAGGUGUUGGUGGAGCUUCUUUACAGAAAGGAGAGACUACUACAGAAAACAGGAUGAAGGAGGAGCAAUUUUCUUUCUUAGUAUCCCUAGAAGGGCACAGGAAUCAUGGUAGCAAAUCUUCAUCUUGGCAAGUGUGCAGACUUCUGAUGAAUCUCAGCACGAGAGGCAAAAAGUAAUUUUAACUAUUCAGAGGCCUCACUCAGGUUUCUCAUUCCUUAAGCAGAGCCAGCCCUGAAGAAAUUUUUCACCAUCUUUUAAAUAGGCAUAACACAUCCUUACAGUGGAUGAAGGAAAAGUUGGCUCUGCACAGAGGAACCUCAGCAUGGAAAGAGAACCAGCUGACCAAAUCAGCAAUUUAGAAAUUCAUGUGAAGAUGGGAGGGAGACCUUGAUCAGCCUUCAGGGGUACCAUGCAGAAAGCUGCUGGAGCUGACAAUGGAUGCCACAGCUGGAUGCCAAGGCAGCAGUCUGCCAUUACUGCCAGAGGGGACUUCUCUGGGCAGCAGGAGGGCAGAGAUGGUUUGCCCACAAGAAGUAGAACUAUGGCAGGCUGUUUGUCCCCUGCUAGGUGUAUGAGCAGCAGAUAACCCAGUAAUUACUGAGCUGAUGGGAACAGAAGUGCCAGCCCUGACUCCCUGGUGUACAUCUGCAGGCUUUUGGCACUUUUUGACUCUGAUUCCUUCCCAAACCUGAGGAGGCUGCAGGCUUAGGCAGUAACACCUAAGUCCUUCCCCUUGGGAGGAAGACUGUGGCAUGUCCCACAUGCCCCUUGGCACCCUUGCCUGAUUGCAGCUAAGUUCUCACCUGCUGUAAAGACCUUUUCACAAAAGGCAAGGGCAGUCCCUGGGCUGUGUAGUUUCCCAUCAGACAUCGAAUGGAAGGACCCAGCACCUCAAAUACCAGGCAAGAAUGUGGGAAGGAGUUAGGGAUUCACUAACAGGGAAAGGUGUUACCACCAACCCUCUGCCUUUCACCAGAGCAACCAAAUACCUCCUGAUUCAGCCUCUCCCCUCCAGCCAUGCCCAUGUGCCCUGGUCCAGCUGCAGCCCUGCUCAUCCUCCUCAUGGCAGCACAGCACUCAGGUUUACACCAUCCUUUCUGGCCCAGAAAAGCACUCUCCUCUGAAGGAUAUGGAAACCAUUCUCUCCAAUCAUUCUGAAGUCGUCUAACAAAGAGACGAUGUUUUCUCCUGCCAGGUCCUUCUUCUUCAUGCAGCUUACCUGAGGGGGAGGAUUCCAAGAAAGCUGCAAUCAGAGACAUAUAUGUGCACAAGGACACUUUGCACCUGUUUUAUCCUGUCUGACAGACUUUCUCUUCUGGCACUUUGUGACAAAUCCCAUGAAAACAACAUCAGGAAUACCAGCAGUGAGUUUCUAUAUGUUUUGUCUUGCUCUUGACGAGGUGGGACCAUCACACCCUCAGCGUCAAAACAACUCACACCAAUCCUGCUGAUAGUAUCUAGCACAUUUCCUGCUGCUUUUCUCUCCAGGCAGACCCAGAAAGUGCUCCUGCUUGUGCUGGAAGGGGAUUUCCCCAAGAAGACAGCUCCCUGCUCCCAGCAUCAGUGACUGUCCAUUUCCUUUGCCUCACACCAGCCCUUUGGCAAUUAACUCAAGGGGUUGCAGAGAGGCAGAGGCAUUAUGGCUGCCUUUGGCCACUCAAAUGCUACUUGUCUUAUCAGGGUAGAGAGCAGCUUCCACAUCUGGAAGAACUCAGUGAAGGGGGCUUCUUUGUGCUGGAAAAGGGUUGGCUGUGGGCAAGUGAUCUAUGGGAUACGGAGGGGUGGUGGAGGAGGUGAACACACCCUUUGUGCUAGAGCCAGGGGUCUUCAAACACAGUGUGUAGUAGGUCCAAAAACACCAGAGAUGGUUCUUCACAGAGCACAUGUGUGACUGGGGACUGUUCCUGUUACAGGGGGCUGUGGUUACUGAAUCUCACAGGGACUUGUAAGGGUUCAAGAUAAAUCCACUAAGAAUUCAUGCCCACACAGGCAUCGUCCUUGGCCCAAGAAAUCUGCGGCUGGAAACUGCAACAGGCCAGGGGAGCAUUCAGGGGGAGCAGCACCCUGUGCUCAGCUUGUCCUUACACCCACCUGGACAUGUGCUGUUGGCCCAGGGUCCUGUGCUGAGGGAACGUCCAGGCACAGGUGCUACAGCACCCCCAGCACCACAGACCUGUGUGACAAGGAGCACCAGGGGUUUGCUCUCCCAGAGCACUUAUUCUGGUACAGCAAUUCAUGCUGUUUUUUUCUCUCUUCAUGGCCACAGCUGCUAGGGUUUUGGUUUGGUUCAUUUUGCAGAUACCAGAUCCACCUGCACCAGUGCCAGAAGGUUUGUUCUGGCACAACACAAGAGAGCAGCCCUGAAAGCAGAGACCAGAUCAUCUCUUCUGGCAGCUCUGCAGGCACUAAGCCCCGGUGCUGGUGGGAACAAGCCUUGGGAAACAGCUGUGUGCUGCUGAAUGGGCAGGCAUGUCUCUCAGAAUUAAUAAUGAAUCAGGGGUAAGGCUCACUCUCUGCACAGGGUUGUGCUGAUGUGUGGAAAAGCAGCCCUCUGAUUACAUUAAAUUAGUGCCACUUGGUACUUCCUCUUGCAUCACUGCAUCUGGCUCAUCUCCCUUUAGAUAGGGCCUACAGAUUUACAGGUGUUAACUAAACCUUUCUCAAACCUGUUGGAGAAAGGCCACAGAGUAAUUUAAAAUGCAGAAUUUAAUAGCUUUUACUCAUCUGAAGCUGAUGUAACUUUGUAUUUGAACAAACUUGAAGAAUUGUAACCACAAGCUUUCUAGAACUAGCAGUUCCAGACAACUUCAAAGGCAACUUGCUACAACCCAGAUACAGGCACCUAAUUAUCACCUCCAUUAGCAGAGGCCAGAAGAAGCUUUCUGACUUCAGAUGUUCAUUGUGUUUGGGUAUGUCAUAUAUUUUUCUAUUGCAGAUAGUUCCUUUUACUUCAGUAUCAGUGUUCUGAUACAGCAAUGUCCUGAGUGAUGUUCCUCUGUAAAUUAUACAGGUACAGUAGACAUGUUCCUAUCUCCUGCUUAAGAGCAUUACCACCUUCUUCUGUUGAUUAUCCACCUUAUCAUUCUGCAGAUUCCUCCUUUUUACUGGAUUUCAGUCUCAGCUUAAAGAAAAGUGGGACAUGUCUCAGUGUGAUGCAGGAAGGAGAAAAUGCCUGUUUCAGAGUCCAGUCCUGAGCUAGGCUGAUUUCUAUGAAUUCCCCAGCUUUCAGGUUGGUUUUUUUUUUUUCCUAUUCCCCACCUAGCUCCGUGGACUGAGAGCAGGCAGAGGGGAUGAUGAGGCUGAUACUCAAACCUGAACUCAGUGGCCAUCUGCUGGAGCAAAGCACAGACCCACAGGAUAUACUCACACAGCGGAGGAAAGCCACCUCAUCCUGGGCAGUGUCAGCAAAGCCUUCCCUGCUUUUCAGAACCUUCACAGCUACCUGCUUCUUCCUCCUGGAAAACGAGCCACAGCUGUCAGCCAGUGCACGUCAGUGGCCCUGACCAGCAGUACUUCCCUUUCUCCCAGUCAGCCAGCCCUGGGCUCCCCAGGGAAGGUGCUGCCCUUCUGCAGGCACCCUUGGCUUGGUUUGCAGCACACCAGGCCCAUGGGCAUCCCUCCUGCUGGCAUCUGGCAGCACAACUUCCCCAGGGACCAGCAAGGGACUGGAGAGAAAAAGAACAUGGAUACUGCAGGGUCUAAACAAGAAAAGAAAAUGCAGAGCGAGGGCUGAUCCCACUUCAUUUAUAUUCUUUGAUUUCUGGGGACCAGCUCUGCUCGUUGCACCCCACUGAUCUUGCUGUCAGGUUUUCCCUGUGUUCAGGGGUGCCUGGCAUGCUCCCAGACUGUGCUCUGCUGUUCCUGCAAGAGGGGCCAGCCCUGCCAGGACAUCAGCCACCCCUUCCCACCUCCCUGAAUGGCACUCAGCCCCUCACCUCAUGUCCUGGCACAGCCAGACAGUGGCAAAGGUGCCACAUCCCAGCUUGUGCAGCACCUGGUAUCGCGUGUUGAGCACCUCUCCCUCCUGCACGGGCUGGUGGCCUCCUGUGGAAAACCAUCACCAAGAGAUAUUAAUGACAUCUCUAAAUGCUCUCAGACUGAACGAGCAGCUGAGGACAGCCUGACAGGUCCCAGUGGCCUCCUCUAGCCUGGGAAGAGCCUGGCAUGAUCUCAUCUCUGGAGCCUCAUGGCCAAGGACUGACCUGUGUGCUGGGCUGAUGGCAUCUCCUGCUGCACCUGCUCCUCCAUGGCCCCGGAGCAUGGCAGAUCCUGGCACAAGGGGAUGGAGGCAGUGGGACACCGAGCUGUGGGAGCUUCAGCACUUCAUUCCUUUCAAGAGAGAUGGAGAGCUGCAGGGUGGCCAUGCCUCUGCUGUACCCUCACCCCUUUCCUUCCCAUUCCCUUCUGCAGCUCUUGGAGUCAGGCUGUUACACUUUUAGCACUUCAGGGAGACAGGGAUUAUUUUAAGAGUUCAGAAGAGGAAAGCUGGCAGGCUGGUCCCAGGCCAGGGCCAGGUGGGAGUCUCAGGUUUCCUAGUGUGUAUUUUCAGGGGCUUAGCGGGGUCUGUGGGAUCCCCUCCCACAGCCAGGGGAAGCACCUCCUCCCUACCCCCAUCCUGGCUGAGGAGGGAAUUUGGGCUUUGGCUGGCAGGAGAAGGCUCCUGCUCCAGAGGGGUGUGAAACAGAACCUGCAUUCUAAACACUACAGUGCUGCUCCUCUCCCACAGUCCAGCCCUGGGGCUGGAGCACGGGUUUGUCACUGACAAUCGUGUGACAUCCCAGCAAGGCCACAGGACAUCCUGGCAAGGGGCUGCUCAUGGGGUUUGUUACUAUGACAGUCCAAAGCAUAAACACCAAGACAGCCCAGACAGACUGAUCCAACUGCUGUCCCCCAGUGCUGCAGCACUGAGGUAGGACUGGAUUCAGUACUGGUCACCUGAAAUAGCAGCCCAGAGCUCCUGUUGCUAAUGAAAUACAGAUUGAAGCCACAGUAGCUGGGGCACUCCCAACCCAGCCUUUUAUAAUUUCCAAAUGUCACUUGCAGUACAGCUGAAGCUUCAGGCUAACACACACUGUCAGAGCUCGAGACAGGUGAUAGUAAUGCCCAAGGGCAUUAGCACAGGUAGAAAUAUUGAACUUUAAAUCCUCCAAAUCAGGUCACUAAAGCUCAGAACUCAUCUGAACCAGAAGAUUUUCAGAAAUAGUUAUAGAGGGCUGGCAGUGCUGGUGGCAGGGAGUUGUUCUGGAGCUGUAACAUCUUCCAGCUGCUGAGACAGAGAACCUGUUUUGACUCAAUGUUUUGACUUCCUCAAAACAUUGAAGUUUCUUUCCAUGCGCUGAUGUUCCUCUCCCAGCACAGCAGCCAGAGGCACAGCUUGCCUUUGGGCACCCAGCAGGCUCCCAACACAGUUCCAGUCAAGGGUCAGACUGAACUCAAGACUUUCACCCUGUCAAGGAAAACCCAAAGUACCAGAGAUGAUGUUACUCUGUUCACCCAUGCCUGCACAGAAGUCUGAAAGGAGCUCAAAAUGCCUCCCCCUCUACACAUUUCUACACCUCUUACCCUUGCAUUUAUGCUGUUCAGAAUCAGUCUAUUUGAUAUAAACCCCCUGGAUGCUGCAUGUCUGCAUGGCCACUCUUUACAGUAAAUGUACCCUGACAUGCCACCUAUGAAACAAAACUGAAAUAAAAAAUUUCCUUAUUUGUGCACAGACUAAGCUUAUCAGUACCCUCACACACUCCUGCACCACCAGCAUCUGCCUGAGCCUUCUUCACCCACAUCAUGAGGACAGCAGGGCCUGAGCUGAGAGCAAGCAAGCUUUAGUCAUGCAGCUUACCAUUCACCUGCCAAAGGAAAACUCAGUGUGUGGAGAUGGGAGCUCAACAGCUUCUUCCCUUGGUGUUCUGGUGAUAGGAGGCUUCAGUGAGAACAUAGGACCCAGAGGCAGACCCAAAGUGUAAGACUCAGCCCUAGGGUGGAUGGGGCUUUUGGGCAGUUCAGGCCCUGGUGGCCUUGUUGCUGCAGAGGCAAGCCAAGUCUAUCCUUAGGCAUGCAAGAUUUACCUCCAUCCACCCUCUCUGGAUGGAAGCGCUGGCAAAAGAUGAAGAGUGUUGCUAUGCAACUUGGUACAGGAAAGUGAAAUGCACUUUUCUAAGCUUUGUGAUAAAGGACAAUUGGUGCUUUAAAUCCUUCAUUUCUUGAUACUUUCACAUUAAAUACAACUUAUUUUUCUUUUGUCAUUCCAACUAUUUUGUGCAGAACCCACUGAAUUGCUGCAGGCCUGGACUAGCUCAGAGAAUUUCAGCCAAAGAACUGCUCCUGCCUGGUUUGUGAGAGCCAUGGACGAGGAGUGAUGAUUCACAUGUGGCCUGGAGUCCUCCACCCAGCCUGCAUGAACAGUGUACAGAGCCUUAUGACACCUGGACCUUUGGAGUGGCAGAACAGACCAAUACACACUUUCAGCUCCUGCACCACAGACCUACAAGCCCAGGCUGAGCACAGCACCCCUGCAAGCCACAGCACACAGCAGACAAGCAGCCCCGGCGAGGCUCUGAGCCCCAGGGCCCAGCACAGACUCACCAUGCAGCAGCUCACGGGUAGGACAGGCCAUUCCCUCUGUCAUCUGGCUCGCUCUGGAGCUCCCCAAAGUGAGAUACCAGCUGGUCCUGCUCUGAUUUUAGUCUGCACUGUCCCAGGAGGGAUGGCCUUGAGCCCACCGAACUUCUGCAUCACUGGAUGGACGUGGUGAGGAGUAGGGCAGGGUAUCAGAUCACAGCACCACUUCUGGGAACAACCUUGGCUUUGGGAGAGCAGGAGACCUCAGACAGCUGCGGUGGAUUCACUUUACUGCUGGCCUCUCCCUGCCUCCCUGGCAGCAGGCCUGGCAGCCUGCAGUAGAUUCACAGUCUCCACAGCAACUAUUUAUAGCGGGAAAUUCACAGCUCUGCUGUGAUGGAAACAGAGAAGUCCUCCCCCUCUGCUCUGCCUUCUCCAGACCCAGAAACCGUGGGGCUGCCUGACUCUCCCCCUGCUCCCAGCAGUGUCAGCAGGACCUGCCCUGUGGCACCAUCUUCUGCCUGGCAGAGCCAUCCCUGUUCCCAGACCAGCCCGUGUGCCACACUGCCAGACCUGAGGAACCCCAGCCUCUCCAGCAGCGCCUGCACACAGUCCAACACCACCACAGCAUGGUGCUGGUGGCCACAGAGCCCAUGCUGCCCCUGUUCCUGUCUCUUGGAGAGCAAGCACAGCAGCAUCCUCCCACAGCCCUGGGGGGACACGAGCAUCCCAGCACCACGCAACACAGGAGAGGAAAAGGCCACACACAGAGCACUGGUUUCUGCCUCACGCUGUUGGACAACAGUGACCAACAAUGACAAGAGUGAAGGUUCAGCAACCCUUACCCAGAGUGAGAGACCACAGCCAGAGCUGCCAUGCACCACGGGGCCCCAGUGCCAGCCAAGACGAGUGUCUGUGCAGGGAGGCUGCCUGCUCCCGUGGGCAGGGAUGGUAUUUGAGCUCUGGAAAUGCAGAGGGAUGCAGGUGGAACUGGCACAAGGUUAUCUUGAAGAAACACAGCCUAGGGAGGAGGGAGAAGCCUCGCUCCUCACACAGCUUCGGGGUCCUGGUGCUUCGGAGUACACUUUCCACUUAGCAAGAAAAAGAAGUAAAUACAUUCUGUGUAAUUGCAUCAUCAUGCAAUACCAGCAUGACACAGAGGUUGUAUAUUAAAAUUUAUUGAAUUAUUGUGUAAGAAUUCUCUUUAUUAAAAUCAUUUUGACUCUAAACUGAUUAUUUACAGACAAAACCUCUUAUAUCACCAAUAGAUUCCUACAUCUCAGAACAGUAUCUACAAACAGUUAUUACACUAUGUAACAAAAUUCAGAUUUUUUUUUCAAGCUUUUUAUAUUAAUUAUUAAUUCAAACUUGAGAAAGACAGUACCUUGGGUGCUCUGAGCAGAACCUAAGGUGUGGCAGGGCAUAAAUGCAGGUCAGGCCAUACCAUAACAGACAGACAGACACCAAGUCACAAGGCUGGGAGAGAGCAGAGUCACCACGACACAGACCAGGAAAAAGACUACAAGAGCAAAUGCCCUGGGUGUUCUGGAAACCAAAAUAACCAUCCCCACAAGAAAGGCACACAUUAAAAAAAAAAAAAAAAAGGAAAAAAAAAAGCAAAAAAAAGCAUCUUGCUGCAACCAGGGCACGCCCUGAAAAAGAUGGCAUUCCACCAAGGCAGCAGCAUCCAAGAACCCUCUAUUCUCUAUUUUCAUUAAAAAAAACCAGCCAUAAUUUCUACCAAAACAAAAAAAAAUUGCCACCAGACAGAUGAAAGCAAGAGCUCUCACAUCUACAUCACGUGGGUGCCAGCUGUGCUUCAUCGUGCCAAAGGGAGACACAUUCAAAUACACUAACGGAGAUUUAUCUUAACACUGAUCAGUCCUCAGCCUUUCACCCAGACCACGGCGAAAGCAAGUCCCUCCCUCUGACCAUAGCAGUGACAUCCCCGUGUCCCACAGCAGGCUGCGGUAGCAGGGCUCUCUCUGCUGGUGCCCACUGAACUUGCUACCUGUGAGCAAACAGGAACAUGCAGACAGGAUUCUCUGUCCUUGACGAGGAAUGUCCGGUUGGUUGUGGAAUCAGGCAGAGACUGGGAAAAACUUGGAAGGAUCAAGAGGAAUAAAUAAAUAAGUUUUCCCCGCAAAAGGGAAUUUCACAAUAAAACUGUUUUGUGCAAAUUUAAAUGCAACAGAAGCCUGCCACAGAAACGGAUUUUGCCACAGGAGAGGGGCACGGACGGAGAUAAGAGGGGCCACGCCUAAACAGCCAAGCUGAUCCCAGGAGGGCCUCGGUGUGUGUCCACAGGGAGGAGGAUGCUGGUAUCCAGAACACCGAGGAAGAUGGAUGGGAGGAGAUGGGCACUACCAGCUGUCCACCCUCACUGCACCUGCACUGGGCAGUGUGUCCUGUGCAGCCAGCAAGGACAAACUGAAGAUGUUAAAUAGGUCAUAAACCUCUGUUUAGCUCUAUUUUUAAGUCUUGAUUAUCAAUCUAACAAAAACAGACUUUCACAGAUACACUCGGAAAAAGCAGACGAUUUCCAACAUCCAGGAACAGCACUGAGAAGCAGGGAGAAUGUGGAUACCAGUGGGAGGUGGAAUGAGAAUUAAGCCUCAAGCCACUCUGUUCUGGGAAAGUGCAGAGAUAAUUCUGCAAAAAUAGGGGUAGACACUGACAGUCUGUAGAGCCAGAAAUCCAGGGAAUUUUCUGUGGCUUCUGGCAGACACUGAGCAAGCUGGAGAGGCCACAAACCAGGCCUUGUUUCCUAGGGUAGAAAGUCCAUCCACCAACACACAAGGGGACAAUUCUACUCCACCACUACACCUGCACUUGCCUCAAACCAAGGAAUCUCCUCCUGCAGUCUCUCAAGAAAUGGGCUUUGCUAACAUGCAUUGUAUUGGCUUUUUCCCAUCCAGCACUCUGCUCGGGUUUUUGGGAUGACCAAUUUAAUCAGAUUUAGUCAAGACAAAGGUUUCAGAGAUGCUGAGUUCCCAUAAGUUUUGUGGAAAUGGGUGGUCAGGCAGGAGUGAGACCCUAACUGGUCCUCAUGUGGGGAAAGAGGCAAACUCUGCAGCCCCAUUUUUGCCUGGCAGCAGCCAGCCAGCCACCCUGCUGCUCUCUCUGUACAGCAGGAUAGGAGCAGAAGGUUGCACAGGGAUGCUCAUACUCUGGGCACACCAUGUACCUGGGAAUACUGCUAGACUGCUGAGAGAGGGUCACAGAGGAGAAGAGAGGCCAGCAUUAACCUGCUGCAAGGACAAUUCUGCACCUACAUAGCACUUGCACAAAGCCUGAUGGAGCAGGCCUGGAAUUACUGCUAUUUGCAAUGUAAAGAGAGGUAGGGAUGUCAUCCU